CAAAAACAUUUUUUAACGAUAUCGUGUUAAAUAUGACCUGCUCCUUGUUAAAUAAAAAGCCGCAGGAAAUUUACUGUGCUAAGGUAGCAUAAUCACUUGUCUUUUAAUUUAAGACUAGAAUGAAAGGUUUAACAAUUAAUAUAAUUUUUAAAUUAUGUUUUCUUAACUUUUACUAAAAAUAAAAAUAUUUUUAUAAAAAUAAUAGACGACAAGACCCUAUUGAACUUUACUGAAGUUUAGCUGGGGAAGCUAACUAACUAUUGUCUUAAAUUCCUUAAUUUAUAUAAAAAUCCUUUAAAUUGAAUUUUAAUCAAGUUACCAAAGGGAUAACAGCGUUAUACUUUUUUAAAGUUCUUAUUAAUAAAUUAGUAUACGACCUCGAUGUUGAAUUAAUUUUUCUUACCCACGCAAGCGUGGGUAAAGUAAGUCUGUUCGACUUUUAAAAAAUUACAUGAUCUGAGUUCAAACCGG
This 471-nucleotide ribosomal RNA is filed under the name Nesticella dazhuangensis. RNAcentral describes it as "partial 16S ribosomal RNA". It matches the Rfam family "Bacterial large subunit ribosomal RNA", at positions 1808 to 2619 of the family's 2925-position model. The record is from RNAcentral. Lineage: Eukaryota; Metazoa; Arthropoda; Arachnida; Araneae; Nesticidae.